RNAcentral lists this long non-coding RNA (684 nucleotides) under Mytilus galloprovincialis (Mediterranean mussel). The record is from RNAcentral. Lineage: Eukaryota; Metazoa; Mollusca; Bivalvia; Mytilida; Mytilidae.
UUUCCUCAAAAUAUUUUUUCCUCAAAAAGUUUUUCUUCUAAUUUUUUUUUCAUUUCCUUAUUCGUUUUCUUUUUCCUUUUUCGAUUAUCAUCCUUAUUCGAUUUCCAUUUCCUUAUUCGAUUUUCAUUUCCUUAUUCGAUUUUCUUUUCCCUUAUUCGGUUUCUUCUUCCUUUUUCAAUAUUCAUUUCCUUUUUCGGUUUCUAUUUCCUUAUUCGGUUUCUAUUUCCUUAUUGGAUUUUCAUUUCCUUAUUCGAUUUCCAUUUCCUUAUUCAAUUUUCAUUUCCUUAUUCGGUUUCUUUUUCCUUUUUCAAUAUUCAUUUCCUUAUUCGGUUUCUAUUUCCUUAUUCAGUUUCUAUUUCCUUAUUGGAUUUUCAUUUCCUUAUUCGAUUUCCAUUUCCUUAUUCGAUUUUCAUUUCCUUAUUCGGUUUCUUUUUCCUUUUUCAAUAUUCAUUUCCUUUUUCGGUUUCUAUUUCCUUAUUCGGUUUCUAUUUCCUAAUUGGAUUUUCGUUUCCUUAUUCGAUUUCCAUUUCCUUAUUCGAUUUUCAUUUCCUAAUUCGGUUUCUUUUUCCUUUUUCAAUAUUUCAUUUCCUUUUUCGGUUUCUAGUUCCUUAUUCGGUUUCUAUUUCCUUAUUGGAUUUUCAUUUCCUUAUUCAAUUUCCAUUUCCUUAUUCGGUUUCUUUUUCC